RNAcentral lists this ribosomal RNA (38 nucleotides) under Senecio gunnii. RNAcentral describes it as "partial 25S ribosomal RNA". Lineage: Eukaryota; Viridiplantae; Streptophyta; Magnoliopsida; Asterales; Asteraceae. The record is from RNAcentral.
GCGACCCCMGGUCAAGCGGGACUACCCGCUGAGUUUAA